CUACCAUUACCUCGCUCGAUAUUUUAUGGAAGGCUCGCCGGGCUGAGCCUGUAGGCUUCGAAAUCAUCGACAAUGUGCUAAUGUAAAGUUGCUUGAGCUUAUGGAAGAUUUUGAAGGCCUGGAUUCCAUGUGUUGAGACUGGCACCAUAUCAGAGGAACAGCUGAGUAUAUGGAGCAGGGAAGCUACGUGCCAGGCAGCAGUGCAGAGCUGGGGCUGCGUGGAGGCUACGAUGGGAUGCGCUGUGGUGCGAAGGAGGAACAUGUGUCUUCCCUCUGCUGCGGGACAGUGCUUUGGCUGCCGUCGCAAAUGCCAGCCCACAGAAGUGGCUCUGGGGCCACAGGGAGAGGGAUGGGACUUUUAGAAAAUCUAAUUUAAGCUUGGCAAGCACUUCCCUCUGAAGGAGGUCAUCUCUUCUCCAGGGUGGCCAGGAGGGAGAAGCUCCUGCCCGGAGCAGCUGCCUGCCCUGCUCAGAGGGAAGGAUACUGGCCCAGUGCCUUCAGGCACUGCCUGGAAACCCCUUGGAGGCAGUGCUAAAGGGAUGAAAUUUCCUUACCAAUUCCCAAGCUGCUCUGACAAAGAUCCCAGGAAUACCCAGGUCUGCAGCGAGGUCCUGCCCCACCACCAGGGACUUCAUUCACCCAUGUGGAGCAGAAAUAAUUGUCCCUCAGCUACCCAGGCUCACUGCCUGCCCCAUUGCAGGAGGCACUAAAGCAGAACAGCUGGAUGGAUCUUGGUGGUAUAUGGAAGGGUUGGAACAAUCCAGGCUCCUGUCACGGGUGGUGCUGGCUCACCAGGAUAGGCAAGGAGCUCACCAUCUCUGGAGUGACAUAUGAAGCAGUGGUGGGUGGCUGGGAGUGGGUCUGCAGGCAGGGGGACAAGCUUUUGUGACAACGAGCUUUGAACUCUUGUAAACACCACAAUCCCACCUGAACUGGUUUUCCUGGGAACUCUGGAAGACUCCACGGCAUCCUGGCACCAUGACCAACAUGACGCUGCUGCUGGGGACAAGCUGAAGCUUUUGUCUUUCCUGGGUGAGUGAACAAGCUGAAGGCUUUAGGUACAGCCACCAGCAUCCUUCCUUCUGGAGCAGGUCACCCCUGGCCACCAAGCCAGGCUGCUCCUUCCCCAGAGCAGUUUGUGAAAAUGAAUUUUUACACUGGCCCAACGCAGUUGGGCUAAAAGAGCUGCCUCACUCAUCCGAGCUCUUUGGGAAGGCUCUUGGGCUGGGGCUUUUGCUGUCCUUAGAAGGGGCCACCAGGAUGUGUGAGUGGAAGUGAGAAAUGAGAUUUCCCGGGAAUAAUCCUCCUACAUGAAACUCAGUGGCAUCUGUGAAAAGUCCCGUGUGCACCAAGACGAUCCACGUGAGGGAGCGUAGAGAGAUGUCUGGAGUGAAACCAUGUCCUAUUAAUUUGCUCAUAACCAUUAGGGUCAGGGUCAGUGGGGUGUCCAGGCUGACCAGAGAGAGAGGCACCAUGGGCCUGGAUCACACAGCUGAGCUCAGCACAGUACAGGGCAGAUCGUGUCACAACCAGAGGCAGAGCCCAUCCUGAGCCUCCCUAGAGCCACUCUCUGCACUGAGGGCUCCUGAAUUGGCUGCCACCUUCCAGGAAUCGGGUUAUUUUGUGACAACCCAAUGAGGACCUCUGCUCGAGAGCCCAGCAGUGACCAGAAAGGUGAAUAAAAAUAAGAUACUUCAUGGGAGAGACUGCAGAGAAGGAUGUCAGGAGUCUCACAAAGGCGUUAGGCAGGCAGGGGGUGUCACCGUGACCUCGCCUGGAGCGCUGUGGGCAGGGCUGCACAUCCCACCUCACAAAUGACAGUCACAGGCACAGAUCUGGAGGAGGGCUGGGAAAAUAGCUCCAAGACUGGCAGACCCUGGGGCUUUUAUAUGCACAAGCUUGGGCCCAUUUGGCUUACAAAGCUCUGGAAGUCCUGAAUCCAGCUGGUUGUUUCUGGGGUGACUGGAGCCAAAGGCUUGCUCCAGUGUUCGGGGAAGUCAGCUGGACUCUGUCUGAAUGCUCUGACCUGCAGUGACAUGGGCUGGUUAAAACCUGACAAGGGAUGCUCUGAAGUAGAAAACUUCUGCCUACAUCAGACCAGGAAGGUGUUCCCAGCUCCAUGCUGUGGGUCAGCAUUGUGCUGUCUGUAUUUCCUUAGGCGUCUGUUAACAAGCCACUGCUAAACAGUGAUAAUCCUCCCGCUGCCAGCCCAGGUCUGAGUGUUUGCUGCAGCAGGAUAAUGUCCCCAGCUAGAGAGUGUGUUUGGAGCCCGUGCAAUGGCCCACUUAAAUCCACGUGAGACUUGAGGGGUCUUGGCAAAGGAGCAACCUAAAUCAAAUUAGGAAGACAAGGGGAUGCUCCCAUGGGCCACCGCCUCGGAGUGAGCCCACAGGACUUGAAACAAUGAUGUUUCCUUUGCCAUGGAACAGUAGAAAUAGGUAAUCCAGAUUAGUUGCUAAGUGCCUCCAGGAGGUAGGAUUAGUAAAAGGAAGAGUCUGCAGCACUCAGCUGGCAGAAUCUCACCAGCACAAAGGUAUGGCUGUAACGGUGCCUUUGCAAGUGUCUGCCUGGACUUAGGGGGCAAAUCAUGGGAAUGACCAUGAGAAACUCUCCAAGGGCCACAGAAGCAAUGCUUAUGUGUAUAGGAGAUGUCUGUGAGUCUGCAGCACCUUGGCUCUCACUCCAAACACCAUGAUUAAAGCAGUGAGCUUACUAAUUUUGGUGUUGUUUUGGCAUAAAGCAUUUGCUACAUCAGUAGAUGUUUGAAUUCACACAGACAACAUGAGCAAUAAAAUGGUAUUUCGUACGUCAGGUUUGUUUUCGCUUUAGAGAACUGGUCAGAAAUGGAAAUUUCUGUUUGAAGACGUUUGAAUUCCCAGUUAUCUGGGUCCUACAUAAGUCAGGAAUUCUGAUGAGCUUUCAGAGGCAAAGCAUCUGCCCUUCAUGGAAGUAGAUUGGUUCUGCACAACAACAGUGCUCAGCAGUUAAGGGUACCUGUUUUGACUCCAUCCUUGGUUCAGCUUGGUGUCUGACCAUACCUUGUUCUGCUUCUCUCCCUGGGGCUUCUUUCCUGUCUGCUCAUCUGGAGAGCUCAUCGAGACUGGGUGAUGCCAGAUCCAAAGGAAAUGAACCUGUGCACCACCUAACCCCUGGUCCCAGGGUGAACAUGGCAUCCCACUGUGGAAGACACCCCCCAGACACCAGGAGCAGUGUUAGAGACGAGAUCUGUGCUGUUCUCUCCAAAAACACAAAGCUCUGGAACAUU
Corvus hawaiiensis (hawaiian crow) is the source of this 3265-nucleotide long non-coding RNA. RefSeq lists it as uncharacterized. Lineage: Eukaryota; Metazoa; Chordata; Aves; Passeriformes; Corvidae. The transcript has 2 exons. The record is from RefSeq and is a predicted model, not a curated record.